Anguilla rostrata (American eel) is the source of this 369-nucleotide long non-coding RNA. RefSeq lists it as uncharacterized. The record is from RefSeq and is a predicted model, not a curated record. NCBI's taxonomy places the organism in Eukaryota, Metazoa, Chordata, Actinopteri, Anguilliformes, Anguillidae. The transcript is spliced from 3 exons.
AAAACAGAAAGUUACUGCUUUGCUAUUGGUCCGCUGGAUGUGCUUCAACCAAUCACCAGCUGAAUAUGGCGUAUCUUCUGCUGACAAUAAACGUGCUUUUAUGAUAAACUACCGAGAGAUCCGGUACAAAACAAUCUUGAAAAUUUGCUGGAUGACUUCUGAACGACCAAAAGUGACAUGAAGGAACAAGUCAAACCCAUCUCCCAAGAUGGCCUGGACUUCGGAAAACCACAGGGGGCCCGGGGGGCCGUGUGGCUCGGCUCUUCACAGUCAGUGUGAACGGGACCAGCGCUCGGAGCCGGCCCUGGUGGAACACGGCGCACUCCCAAGCGUUCCGCGCCAGCGUGACGUUCCUCACCACGAGCCGGA